CUGCCCAGUGACAUAGUUCAACGGCCGCGGUAUCCUAACCGUGCAAAGGUAGCAUAAUCACUUGCCUAUUAAUUGUAGGCUAGAAUGAAUGGAUAAACGAAAUAAAAGCUGUCUCUAUUAAUAAUAUAAAAACUAUUCUCUAUACGAAGAAAUAUAGAUAUAAUCGAAGGACAAGAAGACCCUAUAGAGCUUUAUUUUAAAUAUAGAAAAACACUAUAUAAAAAUUAGGUUGGGGCGACCAAGGAAUUAUAUAUCAUCCUAAUUAAUAAGAUAAAUUAAUCUCAUGAAUGACCCUUAAAAGAUCAAAAGAAUAAGCUACCUUAGGGAUAACAGGCUAAUCCUAUUAAAGAGUCCUUAUCAACAAUAGGGUUUGGCACCUCGAUGUUGGCUUAGGGUAUCUAUAUAGCGCAAAAGUUAUAUAAAGAUGGUUUGUUCAACCAAUAAUUCCCU
RNAcentral lists this ribosomal RNA (450 nucleotides) under Benhamiona sp. 1042. RNAcentral describes it as "partial 16S ribosomal RNA". It matches the Rfam family "Bacterial large subunit ribosomal RNA", at positions 1859 to 2597 of the family's 2925-position model. Lineage: Eukaryota; Metazoa; Annelida; Clitellata; Crassiclitellata; Acanthodrilidae. The record is from RNAcentral.